This 254-nucleotide ribosomal RNA is filed under the name uncultured bacterium. Its description in RNAcentral is "partial 16S ribosomal RNA". It matches the Rfam family "Bacterial small subunit ribosomal RNA", at positions 524 to 776 of the family's 1533-position model. The record is from RNAcentral.
UACGAAGGGGGCUAGCGUUGUUCGGAAUCACUGGGCGUAAAGCGCACGUAGGCGGCUCGUUAAGUCGGGGGUGAAAUCCCGAGGCUCAACCUCGGAACUGCCUUCGAUACUGGCGAUCUUUGAGUCCGGGAGAGGUGAGUGGAACUCCGAGUGUAGAGGUGAAAUUCGUAGAUAUUCGGAAGAACACCAGUGGCGAAGGCGGCUCACUGGCCCGGUACUGACGCUGAGGUGCGAAAGCGUGGGGAGCGAACAGG